UUAUAUAGCCUGGAACCUAUUAGUUUCAAACUCAAGUCACUUUUAUCUGGGGACAAAGGGAAUCUUCUGAGCACUUUAUCCAGAAUUCUGUAACUCUUCGGUGCAGGACCAUCCAGGAAAGAGAGACAUUUGUCCUCCCGUCUCGAUAGCUGCAGCUCAAACAUUGGAUGUUGGGAACCUGGGAAAGACUUACUGAAAUGACGUUUGAAAUGUUUUAUUGAAACUGGGUCCAUGAUGAAAUGUUAUUUUCCACUGAAAAUUCAAACAACAAUCCUUUAUUGAUGUUAUGACUUAAACAAGUAAAGACGAAUCUGAACCAUUGGUGCAGAGGUACUUUGAAAUUGGUGAUAGCUGCGAUAUCUUGUCCAUGAGGUUGGGUGAUCUGGAUGUGGAAACUACCUACAAUAUACAAGAUCAAAAUUAAUAUUCAGCAUUGGAAUGUGAUGAUGCCACAUAGUCCGUCCCGACAGUAUUCCAACACAUACAGCCACACAGACAGGGUAAAGCUAAAGACAAAAGGAAAAAUUAGUUGACAACAUGUGACACUCUGGUCCUUUAUGAAGAAAGCUUCACAGAGAAACACGUGGUCAAAUCAAUCAAACCACAAAUCCCAAGGUUGAUUUACGAAUGCAUCCUUUGAUCACUGUAUAAUU
This is a long non-coding RNA of Saccostrea cuccullata (small rock oyster), 653 nucleotides long. RefSeq lists it as uncharacterized. Lineage: Eukaryota; Metazoa; Mollusca; Bivalvia; Ostreida; Ostreidae. The transcript has 6 exons. The record is from RefSeq and is a predicted model, not a curated record.